AUACGUAGGGGGCGAGCGUUGUCCGGAAUGAUUGGGCGUAAAGGGCGCGUAGGCGGCCCGGUAAGUCUGGAGUGAAAGUCCUGUUUUUAAGAUGGGAAUUGCUUUGGAUACUGUCGAGCUUGAGUGCAGGAGAGGUAAGUGGAAUUCCCGGUGUAGCGGUGAAAUGCGUAGAGAUCGGGAGGAACACCAGUGGCGAAGGCGGCCUGCUGGACGACAACUGACGCUGAGGCGCGAAAGCGUGGGGAGCAAACAGGAUUAGAUACCCUGGUAGUCCACGCUGUAAACGAUGAAUACUAGGUGUGGGGGGACUGACCCCCUCCGUGCCGCAGUUAACACAAUAAGUAUUCCACCUGGGGAGUACGAUCGCAAGAUUGAAACUCAAAGGAAUUGACGGGG
RNAcentral lists this ribosomal RNA (396 nucleotides) under uncultured bacterium. RNAcentral describes it as "partial 16S ribosomal RNA". It matches the Rfam family "Bacterial small subunit ribosomal RNA", at positions 523 to 918 of the family's 1533-position model. The record is from RNAcentral.